Molecule: non-coding RNA, 100 nt
Organism: Acanthosepion pharaonis
Lineage: Eukaryota; Metazoa; Mollusca; Cephalopoda; Sepiida; Sepiidae
Source: the annotation of a GenBank genome assembly
AGCCGAGUUGAAACAUCGGUUCCCGUACGAUCAUCGAAGUUAAGCAACGUUGAACAUGAUCAGUACAUAGCUGGGUCACCACUUGGAAAUGCCAAGUGCU